RNAcentral lists this ribosomal RNA (464 nucleotides) under uncultured bacterium. RNAcentral's name for it is "partial 16S ribosomal RNA". It matches the Rfam family "Bacterial small subunit ribosomal RNA", at positions 28 to 507 of the family's 1533-position model. The record is from RNAcentral.
GACGAACGCUGGCGGCGUGCUUAACACAUGCAAGUCGAACGGAAAGGCCCAGCUUGCUGGGUGCUCGAGUGGCGAACGGGUGAGUAACACGUGGGUGAUCUGCCUCUAACUUCGGGAUAAGCUUGGGAAACUGGGUCUAAUACCGGAUAGGACAAUCGUUUAGUGUCGGUUGUGGAAAGUUUUUUCGGUUAGGGAUGAGCCCGCGGCCUAUCAGCUUGUUGGUGGGGUAAUGGCCUACCAAGGCGUCGACGGGUAGCCGGCCUGAGAGGGUGGACGGCCACAUUGGGACUGAGAUACGGCCCAGACUCCUACGGGAGGCAGCAGUGGGGAAUAUUGCACAAUGAGCGCAAGCCUGAUGCAGCGACGCCGCGUGGGGGAUGACGGCCUUCGGGUUGUAAACCUCUUUCGACAGGGACGAAGCUUUGGUGACGGUACCUGUAUAAGAAGCACCGGCUAACUACGUG